RNAcentral lists this ribosomal RNA (253 nucleotides) under uncultured bacterium. RNAcentral's name for it is "partial 16S ribosomal RNA". It matches the Rfam family "Bacterial small subunit ribosomal RNA", at positions 524 to 776 of the family's 1533-position model. The record is from RNAcentral.
UACAGAGGUCUCAAGCGUUGUUCGGAUUCAUUGGGCGUAAAGGGUGCGUAGGUGGCGUCUUAAGUCGGGUGUGAAAUCUCGGGGCUUAACUCCGAAACUGCAUUCGAUACUGUGGUGCUCGAGGACUGGAGAGGAGACUGGAAUUCAUGGUGUAGCAGUGAAAUGCGUAGAGAUCAUGAGGAAGACCAGUGGCGAAGGCGGGUCUCUGGACAGUUCCUGACGCUGAGGCACGAAGGCCAGGGGAGCAAACGGG